CAUAAUUAGUUACUGGAUGCCA
Molecule: non-coding RNA, 22 nt
Filed under: Arabidopsis thaliana (thale cress)
Lineage: Eukaryota; Viridiplantae; Streptophyta; Magnoliopsida; Brassicales; Brassicaceae
Source: RNAcentral